GAUGAACGCUGGCGGCGUGCCUAAUACAUGCAAGUCAAGCGAACAGACGAGGAGCUUGCUCCUCUGACGUUAGCGGCGGACGGGUGAGUAACACGUGGAUAACCUACCUAUAAGACUGGGAUAACUUCGGGAAACCGGAGCUAAUACCGGAUAAUAUAUUGAACCGCAUGGUUCAAUAGUGAAAGACGGUUUUGCUGUCACUUAUAGAUGGAUCCGCGCCGCAUCAGCUAGUUGGUAAGGUAACGGCUUACCAAGGCAACGAUGCGUAGCCGACCUGAGAGGGUGAUCGGCCACACUGGAACUGAGACACGGUCCAGACUCCUACGGGAGGCAGCAGUAGGGAAUCUUCCGCAAUGGGCGAAAGCCUGACGGAGCAACACCGCGUGAGUGAUGAAGGUCUUCGGAUCGUAAAACUCUGUUAUUAGGGAAGAACAAAUGUGUAAGUAACUAUGCACGUCUUGACGGUACCUAAUCAGAAAGCCACGGCUAACUACGUG
Molecule: ribosomal RNA, 497 nt
Filed under: uncultured bacterium
Lineage: Bacteria
Description: partial 16S ribosomal RNA
Rfam family: Bacterial small subunit ribosomal RNA
Source: RNAcentral